Dichanthelium oligosanthes is the source of this 225-nucleotide microRNA precursor. It matches the Rfam family "MIR159 microRNA precursor family". NCBI's taxonomy places the organism in Eukaryota, Viridiplantae, Streptophyta, Magnoliopsida, Poales, Poaceae. The record is from Rfam.
GGACCGGAAGCAGAGCUCCCUUCAAUCCAAUGAAGGGUCAUUUGAAGGGUUGUACAGCUGCUCGUUCAUGGUUCCCACUAUCCUCUCUCAUCAGCGAGCGAGGGAGAUUGUAAGAUCAGUGGGAUGAUUGGUUUGAGAUAUGUUUGUGGUUUGCAUGACCAAGUCGCUGCAUCGUCCCCUCUCUGACCGCUCUUUGGAUUGAAGGGAGCUCUGCGCCUUGAUCUC